Molecule: ribosomal RNA, 468 nt
Filed under: uncultured bacterium
Lineage: Bacteria
Description: bacterial SSU rRNA
Rfam family: Bacterial small subunit ribosomal RNA
Source: RNAcentral
UGACCUACGGGAGGCAGCAGUGGGGAAUCUUGGGCAAUGGGCGCAAGCCUGACCCAGCCAUGCCGCGUGUGCGAAGAAGGCCUUCGGGUUGUAAAGCACUUUCAGUAGCGAAGAAAAGCCAGGGGCUAAUACCCCCGGGUCUUGACGUUAACUACAGAAGAAGCACCGGCUAACUCCGUGCCAGCAGCCGCGGUAAUACGGAGGGUGCGAACGUUAAUCGGAAUUACUGGGCGUAAAGCGCACGUAGGCGGUUCGGUAAGUGGGAUGUGAAAGCCCUGGGCUCAACCUGGGAACUGCAUUCCAAACUGCCGAGCUAGAGUAUGGUAGAGGGAGGUAGAAUUUCCUGUGUAGCGGUGAAAUGCGUAGAUAUAGGAAGGAAUACCAGUGGCGAAGGCGGCCUCCUGGACCAAUACUGACGCUGAGGUGCGAAAGCGUGGGGAGCAAACAGGAUUAGAUACCCCGGUAGUC